Molecule: ribosomal RNA, 225 nt
Filed under: uncultured bacterium
Lineage: Bacteria
Description: partial 16S ribosomal RNA
Rfam family: Bacterial small subunit ribosomal RNA
Source: RNAcentral
GAAACUGCGUAGUAUAGGGAUACAUAGAAUAGUGCUAAUACCGCAUAAGCGCACAGCUUCGCAUGAAGCGGUGUGAAAAACUCUGGUGGUAUACGAUGGUUCCGCGUCUGAUUAGCUAGUUGGUGGGGUAAUGGCCUACCAAGGCAACGAUCAGUAGCCGGCCUGAGAGGGUGAACGGCCACAUUGGGACUGAGACACGGCCCAAACUCCUACGGGAGGCAGCAG